This 1305-nucleotide long non-coding RNA is filed under the name Serinus canaria (Common canary). RNAcentral's name for it is "lncRNA (ENSSCAG00000001894.1)". Lineage: Eukaryota; Metazoa; Chordata; Aves; Passeriformes; Fringillidae. The record is from RNAcentral.
CCCUGCCCGUGUCACCUGUCUGGGACACCUGUGUCCCCUCUGACCCCGCCAUGUCCCCCAAAAUACUCACGAACCCCUCUAAACUGUGUCCUCAAAAUUAGCUUUGUCGUUCUUUAAUUUUGUCCCUUCCGAUCCCCUCAACCCCCGAAAUUUUGUGUGCUCUCAGACCUUUUUUGUGCCCCCUCAAAAUCCCAUCAGAACCCCCCCAAAAUCCUUUCAAAUUGCCCCAAAACCCUCUCAGAAUCCCUCAAAUCCCCUCAUAACCCCCCAAAAAACCCUCAAACCCCCUCAGAUUUCCACCCUAUCCCCUCAGAACCUCUCAAAUCCCCUCAGAACCCCCAAAUCCCCUCAAAACACCCUCAGAACUCCUUAAAUCCCCACAACCCCCCACCCCAAAACCCCUUAAAUCUCCCCAAAACCCCCUCAGAACCCCCCAAAUCCCCCCAAAAUCCCCUCAAACCCCUCCUAAAUUCACUCACGCUCCUCUCAGACUCCCCCUACCCGAUUAUCCCUACCCAAAAUCUCCUCAGAAAAAUCUAAAAUUGCCUCAGAUCCUUUUCCCGCCUUUCUUGUCCCCUCACAACAACCCCAAAUUCCCUCAGAUUCUCCCCAAAUCUCCUCACGGUUUCUCCCGCCUCAUCCUCUCGGAUAUUCCCGUCCCCUCACGUUCUUUUUCCCCCAGAUUCCUUCCCGAUUUCCCCCAAAACCCCUCAGGAAACUCCAAAUCCCCUCAGAAAAUCCAAAAUCUCCUCAGGAUUCCCCUGAAAAACCCCUCAGAAAAUCCAAAUUCUCCUCCGAUUCCCCUGAAAUCCCCUCGCGGUUCGACUCAAAAUCCCUUCGAGUUUUUGCCCUGCCGAUCGCUCUCAAAUUACGCCCCCAAAAUCCCCUCAGAUCCCCCAAAAUCCUUAGGAUUCCCUCAAAUCUUUUUAGGAUUUCCCCAAAAUCCCCUCCCCGCCAUGUCCCCUCACGGCUCUCCCUCACGAUUCCCCCACAAAUCCCCUCAGGAUUUCCGCCCAAAAUCCCCUCCAAAAACCCCCCAAAUCCCCUCACGAUUCCCCCACAAAUCCCCUCAGGAUUCCCGCCCAAAAUCCCCUCCAAAACCCCCCCAAAUCCCCUCACGAUUCCCUCUCAAAUCCCCUCAGGCUCUCCUUAAUCCCCUCACGAUUCCCGCCAAAACCCUCUCAGGAUUCCCCGUUGAAAUCCCCUCAGGAUUUUCUACAAAAACACAACAAAUCCCCACAGGACCCCUCCAAACCCUCUCAGGAACUCCCGAAUCUCCUCAGAUUCCCCUAAAUUCCCUUCACA